Molecule: ribosomal RNA, 460 nt
Filed under: uncultured bacterium
Lineage: Bacteria
Description: partial 16S ribosomal RNA
Rfam family: Bacterial small subunit ribosomal RNA
Source: RNAcentral
CCUACGGGUGGCAGCAGUGAGGAAUAUUGGUCAAUGGACGAAAGUCUGAACCAGCCAAGCAGCGUGAAGGAAGACGGCUCUAUGGGUUGUAAACUGCUUUUAUACGGGAGUAAAAUGGACUACGUGUGUGAAUUUGUAAGUACCGUACGAAUAAGGAUCGGCUAACUCCGUGCCAGCAGCCGCGGUAAUACGGAGGAUCCGAGCGUUAUACGGAUUUAUUGGGUUUAAAGGGAGCGCAGGUGGAUUGUUAAGUCAGUUGUGAAAAUUUGCGGCUCAACCGUAAAAUUGCAGUUGAAACUGGCAUUCUUGAGUACAGUAGAGGUAGGCGGAAUUCGUGGUGUAGCGCGGAAAUGCUUAGAGAUCACGAAGAACACCGAUUGCGAAGGCAGCUCACUCCACUGCAACUGACACUGAGGCUCGCAAGUGUGGGUAUCACACAGGAUUAGAUACCCUCGUAGUC